RNAcentral lists this ribosomal RNA (482 nucleotides) under uncultured bacterium. RNAcentral describes it as "partial 16S ribosomal RNA". It matches the Rfam family "Bacterial small subunit ribosomal RNA", at positions 30 to 507 of the family's 1533-position model. The record is from RNAcentral.
AUUGAACGCUGGCGGCAUGCCUUACACAUGCAAGUCGAACGGUAACGGGCCUUCGGGUGCCGACGAGUGGCGAACGGGUGAGUAAUACAUCGGAACGUGCCCGAUCGUGGGGGAUAACGAGGCGAAAGCUUUGCUAAUACCGCAUACGAUCUACGGAUGAAAGCAGGGGACCGCAAGGCCUUGCGCGGACGGAGCGGCCGAUGGCAGAUUAGGUAGUUGGUGGGAUAAAAGCUUACCAAGUCGACGAUCUGUAGCUGGUCUGAGAGGAUGAUCAGCCACACUGGGACUGAGACACGGCCCAGACUCCUACGGGAGGCAGCAGUGGGGAAUUUUGGACAAUGGGCGCAAGCCUGAUCCAGCCAUGCCGCGUGCAGGAUGAAGGCCUUCGGGUUGUAAACUGCUUUUGUACGGAACGAAAAGCCUUCUUUUAAUACAGGAGGGUCAUGACGGUACCGUAAGAAUAAGCACCGGCUAACUACGUG